AGUGAACGCUGGCGGUAGGCCUAACACAUGCAAGUCGAACGGCGGCACAGUAAGAGCUUGCUCUUACGGGUGGCGAGUGGCGGAAGGGAGAGGAAUACAACGGAAUCUACUUUUUCGUGGGGGAUAACGAAGGGAAGCUUACGCUAAUACAGCAUACGACCUACGGGGGAAAGCAGGGGAUCGUCGGGCCGUGCGCGAGUGAAUGCGCCGAUGUCGUAUUAGCUAGUUGGCGGGGUACAGGCCCACCAAGGCGACGAUACGGAUCUGGUCUGAGAGGAGGGUCGGCCACACUGGAACGUAGACACGGUCCUUGCGCCUACGGGAGGCCGCAGUGUCGAAUAUUGGACAGUGGUCGCAAGCCUUAUCCAGCCAUCCCGCGUGGGUGAAGAAGGCCUUCGGGUUGUAAAGCCCUUUUGUUGGGUAAGAAAAGCAUCAGGUUAAUACCCCGCUUUUCUGACGGUACUCAAAGAAUAAGCACCGGCUAACUUCGUG
This 492-nucleotide ribosomal RNA is filed under the name uncultured bacterium. RNAcentral describes it as "partial 16S ribosomal RNA". It matches the Rfam family "Bacterial small subunit ribosomal RNA", at positions 29 to 507 of the family's 1533-position model. The record is from RNAcentral.